GUCCUAGUGUGCUGUAGUGGUUUGAGCACUUGACUAGGACUCCAGAGACCAGGGUUCAAAUCUCCACUCAGCCA
Non-coding RNA from Phrynosoma platyrhinos (Desert horned lizard), 74 nucleotides. The record is from the annotation of a GenBank genome assembly. Lineage: Eukaryota; Metazoa; Chordata; Lepidosauria; Squamata; Phrynosomatidae.